This 123-nucleotide microRNA precursor is filed under the name Gossypium hirsutum (cotton). Its description in RNAcentral is "MIR7504 microRNA precursor family". It matches the Rfam family "MIR7504 microRNA precursor family". Lineage: Eukaryota; Viridiplantae; Streptophyta; Magnoliopsida; Malvales; Malvaceae. The record is from Rfam by way of RNAcentral.
AAUGGAAGCAUGGUAAAUUAUAUUUUUCUUCCUAAUUUUUAGUUUUUUUCACCUAAAAUAAUUUAAAUCCAACUAAAAAUACUAAAAAUUAUGAUGAAAAAUCUGAUUUGUCAUGCUCCUAUU